RNAcentral lists this long non-coding RNA (1884 nucleotides) under Gossypium barbadense (sea-island cotton). RNAcentral's name for it is "long non-coding RNA (GBAR_LNC002255)". The record is from RNAcentral. Lineage: Eukaryota; Viridiplantae; Streptophyta; Magnoliopsida; Malvales; Malvaceae.
AAGCUGAACAAUUCUCUCAUUUUCUAUUUUCUUUCCUCGAAGCCAAAUUCUUUUUAAAACGACUUUUUCUUCUCAAAUAUUGGUUGCCGAUUACUCAUUUGGUUGAAACCAUAUCUCUUUUCCUUUUAAUCUUUCAAAAGACCGAACCUCUAAUCUUACAUCUCUUCCUCUACUGAUUGUCUCUUCAAUGGUGAACUUAUCGUCACCUAUUUUUUUUCUUUUAGAUCGCAAUAGUCAUAUUCUAGGAUAGAUCCAAAAGCCGAAAAGCCUCAUAUUGUAGUGAUUCGGGAAUUAAUAUUUAGAUCUAUUUUAUACGCACGUUUAAGUUGGAUUCACAACGGAUCUGGGGUAGGAAGGUAUUUGGAACGUUCUUCAACGAGUAGAUCUCUUGGUAAGUAUUCGAACCUUCUUUCCAUUUGUAUCUUGUGGUUUAAAGAAAAGCCGAAAACCCUAUAUGCAAAGGGUGCCUGUCGACUAAACUAAAAGAGUUUAGUGGUGUUAUUUGAUUUGUUUUGCUCUAGUGUGGAUUAAAGGCUACUAAUCGAGGGCUUGGAUAUUUGGAACGACCAAAAUUAGGUCUAGUCCAUUUUUCCGACAAAGGUAAGAACUUUAGUUCCUAAGGUGUUACGGGCCAAAUAUGGUAAGGGUUUGAUGUGUUAAGUUGUUAUGGAUUCAUAGUUUAACGUGUUAGUAACUGAUUGUAGGCAACUUGUGUGUGGAACUCGUUAAUGUUUCGUCGAAAAACAGGUGUGUAAACGACACCCACUCAUAGACUAGAUCGGCAAAAGCUGAAAAGCCGAAAUGCCGAAAAGUCGGCAUUUAUGAACUUGCGAGCAUGCGAGCGCUCGUGAGGUGGUUUGUUUGUUAAUUUUGGUAAUCAUAAGCGGUAAGAGUGCAGAGUGCGCAAUUUCGUGCACUUCGGUAUAUUUGGGCUUAAUGGGCCAAAAAUGGGGUAGUGGGCCAACAGGCCCAAUUCGGUAAAAACGCUCGGUAAGUGUUUCUGUUAAUGCGUUAAUGGUUAUAAUAUGUGUGUAAACUCUAGAAUAGUAAAUUUUACUAAAAUACCCCUAAGUAUGAAAAUUACCAUUUUACCCCUAGGUGCAAAAUGACCGUUAUACCCCUAGGGUUAAUUUUGACUGAAAUGCAUGAUAUUAUGAUUCUGUUUGUUGUAUGCCAUGACAUGUAUAUCUAUUGCAUGGGAUCUGGGUUAUGUUAUGGAGGAAGAACCCGUUCUGGUGGCUGUGCCACAUAUUCUGAUAUAAGCAACUUUGCUGCGGAUUAUAGUUAGUGCCGCAACCGGUGCUAACACUGUAAGUGUAGGGAUGGCGUGGGUGAUUUAUUCCCCACAGAAAGUGUAGGGAUGGAUGGAGGCAAGUGCAGAGUUGGAUGGGGUUAUCAUGCAUUAAUCAUAUGAGGCUGUUUUGUUAUGGGCCAACUGUAUUGAAAUGGGCCCAACUGUGUUAAUAUGGCCAAGGCCUAAUAUAUCUCGACUUGUAAUAGGGCUACGGCCCAGAUUGAUACUGAUAUGGGCUAGGCCCAAUAUACUCUGAUACUAUAAGGGGCUAUGGCCCAGAUUAAUAUUGAUAUGGGCUAAGGCCCAGUUAACACUGAUUUUUGAAUAGGGCUUAGGCCCAGUAAAGCUUGAACUGAUUUGGGCUCUGGUUGGGAUACUUUACAUACUGAGUUUUCCAAACUCACCCCCUUUCUCUUCUAUCCUUGCAGGUGAGCCCUAGUUGGUGGACUUGGAGCUGGGCGGGAUUCAGAGUGGCCAUGAAGAUUAAGUUUCUGUUUUCUUUAAAAUAAGUUUCGCAUUUAUUAUUUUGAUUAUUUUUUUUCUGGUUUAAAUUGUAAUAAGGCCGCUCUUUUUAUUAUUUUUAAUAUUUU